This 496-nucleotide ribosomal RNA is filed under the name uncultured bacterium. RNAcentral's name for it is "partial 16S ribosomal RNA". It matches the Rfam family "Bacterial small subunit ribosomal RNA", at positions 29 to 507 of the family's 1533-position model. The record is from RNAcentral.
ACGAACGCUGGCGGCGUGCCUAAUACAUGCAAGUUGAGCGCUGAAGGUUGGUACUUGUACCGACUGGAUGAGCAGCGAACGGGUGAGUAACGCGUGGGGAAUCUGCCUUUGAGCGGGGGACAACAUUUGGAAACGAAUGCUAAUACCGCAUAAAAACUUUAAACACAAGUUUUAAGUUUGAAAGAUGCAAUUGCAUCACUCAAAGAUGAUCCCGCGUUGUAUUAGCUAGUUGGUGAGGUAAAGGCUCACCAAGGCGAUGAUACAUAGCCGACCUGAGAGGGUGAUCGGCCACAUUGGGACUGAGACACGGCCCAAACUCCUACGGGAGGCAGCAGUAGGGAAGCUUCGGCAAUGGACGAAAGUCUGACCGAGCAACGCCGCGUGAGUGAAGAAGGUUGUCGGAUCGUAAAACUCUGUUGGUAGAGAAGAACGUUGGUGAGAGUGGAAAGCUCAUCAAGUGACGGUAACUACCCAGAAAGGGACGGCUAACUACGUG